UCGCCUAGGCUAGUAUUACCCUAGGCGAACAUAGGUAGCGUGUAGCA
This 47-nucleotide non-coding RNA is filed under the name unclassified sequences. RNAcentral describes it as "ssNA-helicase RNA". It matches the Rfam family "ssNA-helicase RNA". Rfam says of the family: Firmicutes, Actinobacteria (1 example). Downstream gene The record is from Rfam by way of RNAcentral.